Molecule: transfer RNA, 72 nt
Filed under: Candidatus Chloroheliaceae bacterium
Lineage: Bacteria; Bacillati; Chloroflexota; Chloroflexia; Candidatus Chloroheliales; Candidatus Chloroheliaceae
Description: tRNA-Lys
Rfam family: tRNA
About the family: Transfer RNA (tRNA) molecules are approximately 80 nucleotides in length. Their secondary structure includes four short double-helical elements and three loops (D, anti-codon, and T loops). Further hydrogen bonds mediate the characteristic L-shaped molecular structure. tRNAs have two regions of fundamental functional importance: the anti-codon, which is responsible for specific mRNA codon recognition, and the 3' end, to which the tRNAs corresponding amino acid is attached (by aminoacyl-tRNA synthetases). tRNAs cope with the degeneracy of the genetic code in two manners: having more than one tRNA (with a specific anti-codon) for a particular amino acid; and 'wobble' base-pairing, i.e. permitting non-standard base-pairing at the 3rd anti-codon position.
Source: RNAcentral
GGGCGUAUAGCUUAACGGCAAAGUAGCUGGCUCUUACCCAGUAGCAUCCGGGUUCAAAUCCUGGUGCGCCCG